AGAACGAACGCUGGCGGCAUGCCUAAUACAUGCAAGUCGAACGAACUCUUCGGAGUUAGUGGCGCACGGGUGCGUAACGCGUGGGAAUCUGCCCCUUGGUUCGGAAUAACAGUUGGAAACGACUGCUAAUACCGGAUGAUGACGAAAGUCCAAAGAUUUAUCGCCAAGGGAUGAGCCCGCGUAGGAUUAGCUAGUUGGUGAGGUAAAGGCUCACCAAGGCAACGAUCCUUAGCUGGUCUGAGAGGAUGAUCAGCCACACUGGGACUGAGACACGGCCCAGACUCCUACGGGAGGCAGCAGUAGGGAAUAUUGGACAAUGGGCGCAAGCCUGAUCCAGCAAUGCCGCGUGAGUGAUGAAGGCCUUAGGGUUGUAAAGCUCUUUACCCGAGAUGAUAAUGACAGUAUCGGAGAAUAAGCCCCGGCUAACUCCGUGCCAGCAGCCGC
This 444-nucleotide ribosomal RNA is filed under the name uncultured soil bacterium. RNAcentral describes it as "bacterial SSU rRNA". It matches the Rfam family "Bacterial small subunit ribosomal RNA", at positions 26 to 518 of the family's 1533-position model. The record is from RNAcentral.